This 253-nucleotide ribosomal RNA is filed under the name uncultured bacterium. Its description in RNAcentral is "partial 16S ribosomal RNA". It matches the Rfam family "Bacterial small subunit ribosomal RNA", at positions 524 to 776 of the family's 1533-position model. The record is from RNAcentral.
UACAGAGGGUGCGAGCGUUGUCCGGAAUCACUGGGCGUAAAGGGCGCGUAGGCGGCUUGAUAAGCGUGCGGUGAAAGCCCGGGGCUCAACCCCGGGUCGGCCGUGCGAACUGUCGAGCUGGAGCACUGUAGAGGCAGGUGGAAUUCCGGGUGUAGCGGUGGAAUGCGUAGAGAUCCGGAGGAACACCAAUGGCGAAGGCAGCUCGCUGGGACGGUACUGACGCUGAGGCGCGAAAGCGUGGGGAGCAAACAGG